GUUGUAUAGUUAAGUGAGAAAGCGUACAGGGCGGAUGCCUUGGCAAUCAGAGGCGAAGAAGGACGUGCUAAUCUGCGAAAAGCGUGGGUGAGUUGAUAAGAAGCGUUUAACCCACGAUGUCCGAAUGGGGAAACCCGAUAGGCGAAGAGCCUAUCAUUGCGAGGUGAAUAAAAUAGCCUCGUAAGGCGAACCGGGAGAACUGAAACAUCUAAGUACCCCGAGGAAAAGAAAUCAACCGAGAUUCUGUGAGUAGCGGCGAGCGAAAGCGGAGGAGCCAGUAAGUAAUAGCAGCAGAGAUAGAGGAAUUGUCUGGGAAGGCAAGCGACACAGGGUGAUAGCCCCGUACUUAAAAUCCAGGCUGUGGUACUAAGCUUACGAGAAGUAGGGCGGGACACGAGGAAUCCUGUCUGAAGAUGGGGGACCAUCCUCCAAGGCUAAAUACUCCUGAUUGACCGAUAGUGAACCAGUACUGUGAAGGAAAGGCGAAAAGAACCCCGGUGAGGGGAGUGAAAUAGAACCUGAAACCCUGUACGUACAAGCAGUGGGAGCCCGCAAGGGUGACUGCGUACCUUUUGUAUAAUGGGUCAGCGACUUAUAUUUUGUAGCGAGGUUAACUGAAUAAGGGAGCCGAAGGGAAACCGAGUCUUAACUGGGCGGUGAGUUGCAAGGUAUAGACCCGAAACCCGGUGAUCUAGCCAUGGGCAGGUUGAAGGUUGGGUAACACUAACUGGAGGACCGAACCGACUAAUGUUGAAAAAUUAGCGGAUGACCUGUGGCUGGGGGUGAAAGGCCAAUCAAACCGGGAGAUAGCUGGUUCUCCCCGAAAUCUAUUUAGGUAGAGCCUUGUGUGAAUACCUUUGGGGGUAGAGCACUGUUUCGGCUAGGGGCCCAUCCCGGGUUACCAAACCGAUGCAAACUCCGAAUACCAAAGAGUAAUGCACAGGAGACACACGGCGGGUGCUAACGUCCGUCGUGGAGAGGGAAACAACCCAGACCGCCAGCUAAGGUCCCAAAAUCUAUAUUAAGUGGGAAACGAAGUGGGAAGGCUUAGACAGCUAGGAUGUUGGCUUAGAAGCAGCCACCAUUUAAAGAAAGCGUAAUAGCUCACUAGUCGAGUCGGCCUGCGCGGAAGAUGUAACGGGGCUAAAAUAUAGUACCGAAGCUGCGGCAUCAAUCGAAGGAUUGUUGGGUAGGGGAGCGUUGUGUAAGCGGAAGAAGGUGGUUCGAGAGGAUUGCUGGACGUAUCACAAGUGCGAAUGCUGACAUAAGUAACGAUAAAACGGGUGAAAAACCCGUUCGCCGGAAGACCAAGGGUUCCUGUCCAACGUUAAUCGGGGCAGGGUGAGUCGGCCCCUAAGGCGAGGCUGAAAAGCGUAGUCGAUGGGAAACGGGUUAAUAUUCCCGUACUUGGUAAAGCUGCGAUGUGGGGACGGAGAAGGUUAGGUUAUCGACCUGUUGGAUAUGGUCGUUUAAGUUGGUAGGUGGGUGAGUUAGGUAAAUCCGGCUCACCGUUAACACUGAGAGAUGAUGACGAGGCACUAAGGUGCUGAAGUAACUGAUACCACACUUCCAGGAAAAGCCACUAAGCUUCAGGCUUUACUAAACCGUACUGAAAACCGACACAGGUGGUCAGGUAGAGAAUACUCAGGCGCUUGAGAGAACUCGGGUGAAGGAACUAGGCAAAAUAGCACCGUAACUUCGGGAGAAGGUGUGCCGGCGUAGAUUGUAGUGACUUGCUCACGAAGGUUGAACCGGUCGAAGAUACCAGCUGGCUGCAACUGUUUAUUAAAAACACAGCACUCUGCAAACACGAAAGUGGACGUAUAGGGUGUGAUGCCUGCCCGGUGCUGGAAGGUUAAUUGAUGGUGUAAUCGAAAGAGAAGCUCCUGAUCGAAGCCCCAGUAAACGGCGGCCGUAACUAUAACGGUCCUAAGGUAGCGAAAUUCCUUGUCGGGUAAGUUCCGACCUGCACGAAUGGCAUAAUGAUGGCCAGGCUGUCUCCACCCGAGACUCAGUGAAAUUGAAAUCGCCGUGAAGAUGCGGUGUACCCGCGGCUAGACGGAAAGACCCCGUGAACCUUUACUAUAGCUUGACACUGAACCUUGAAUUUUGAUGUGUAGGAUAGGUGGGAGACUAUGAAGCGGUAACGCCAGUUAUCGUGGAGUCGUUGUUGAAAUACCACCCUUUAACGUUUGAUGUUCUAACGAAGUGCCUGAAACGGGUACUCGGACAGUGUCUGGUGGGUAGUUUGACUGGGGCGGUCUCCUCCCAAAGUGUAACGGAGGAGCACGAAGGUUUGCUAAUGACGGUCGGACAUCGUCAGGUUAGUGCAAUGGUAUAAGCAAGCUUAACUGCGAGACAGACAAGUCGAGCAGGUGCGAAAGCAGGUCAUAGUGAUCCGGUGGUUCUGAAUGGAAGGGCCAUCGCUCAACGGAUAAAAGGUACUCCGGGGAUAACAGGCUGAUACCGCCCAAGAGUUCAUAUCGACGGCGGUGUUUGGCACCUCGAUGUCGGCUCAUCACAUCCUGGGGCUGAAGUAGGUCCCAAGGGUAUGGCUGUUCGCCAUUUAAAGUGGUACGCGAGCUGGGUUUAGAACGUCGUGAGACAGUUCGGUCCCUAUCUGCCGUGGGCGUUGGAGAAUUGAGAGGGGCUGCUCCUAGUACGAGAGGACCGGAGUGGACGCAUCACUGGUGUACCAGUUGUCUCGCCAGAGGCAUUGCUGGGUAGCUAAAUGCGGAAGAGAUAAGUGCUGAAAGCAUCUAAGCACGAAACUUGCCUUGAGAUGAGUUCUCCCAGUCUAUAAGACUGUAAGGGUUGUUGGAGACUACGACGUAGAUAGGCUGGGUGUGUAAGCGGUGUGAGCCGUUGAGCUAACCAGUACUAAUUGCCCGAGAGGCUUAACUAUACAACGCUCAAGGGUUUUG
RNAcentral lists this ribosomal RNA (2924 nucleotides) under Avibacterium paragallinarum. RNAcentral describes it as "23S ribosomal RNA". It matches the Rfam family "Bacterial large subunit ribosomal RNA". Lineage: Bacteria; Pseudomonadati; Pseudomonadota; Gammaproteobacteria; Pasteurellales; Pasteurellaceae. The record is from RNAcentral.